CGCGUAACACGUAGGCAACCUGCCCGAAAGACCGGGACAACAUCUCGAAAGGGGUGCUAAUACCGGAUGUGGUCGUAGGGUGGCAUCACCAUACGCCUAAACCAUUCAUGGCUUUCGGAGGGGCCUGCGGCCUAUCAGCUAGAUGGCGGGGUAACGGCUCACCAUGGCGACGACGGGUAGCUGGUCUGAGAGGAUGUCCAGCCGGACUGGGACUGAGAUACGGCCCAG
Molecule: ribosomal RNA, 228 nt
Filed under: uncultured bacterium
Lineage: Bacteria
Description: partial 16S ribosomal RNA
Rfam family: Bacterial small subunit ribosomal RNA
Source: RNAcentral